CAGAGGAAGCAAAAGGAUCUGAAACUGAGAAAAGCGAAGAAAUGUUUGUAUCCCAAGUUGUUGGUAUUGUGUCUAAAACUGCAUUGGAUAGUGAUGGUCUGCCUACAACUUUGUCAGUGACGGAGGAUGAUAAGAUUGAAGGUGUUUCUGAGAAGAGCACUCAUAGCAUGUUGGGAGCAGUGGGUGAAUCUAGGUCUGAAAUAGAAGACAAUCAUCGGUUGGCUGAAUCUCAGGUUGAUAUGAUAGGGCCCGAAUCUUCUCAGGUUGAUGGGAUAGAGCCAGAAGAUUCCCAGGUUGGUGGUAUUGUGCCUGAUGAUAAAUCCGGAAACGUCAUCAUACCUACAUUGUCUAUAUCAAUGAUGCAUGAAGAGGAUAUUGAGGAUACUCCAUGCAAGGUUCCAGAGGGAUCAAAAAUGUCUGAAUCUGAAAUAGAUGGACAAACAAAGCAUGGUGGGAUGGCUGAAAAGUUAGACCUGCCUUAUUCUCUAGUGACAGAGGGGGCAGGAGUACCCUUCUCAUCUGAGAAGGGUACAGUCGACAGCUUAAUAGCAUCCAUGGAUUCAAAAGGAUCUGAAAUUGAAGUGGGUGAUCAAGUAUCUCAUUCUGAGGAUGGUGGAAGUGUGCCAGAGAAAGUAUCUGCGGAUAUGGGCUUGCCUUCAUCUUCAUUAGUGAUACUGGAUGAUAAGACUGAGGAACCAUCUGGAAAAGAUACAGUUGGCACCUCAGUAGCUCGGGAGAAAUCACAAGAAUCUCUAGCUGA
RNAcentral lists this unclassified non-coding RNA (760 nucleotides) under Hevea brasiliensis (rubber tree). The record is from RNAcentral. Lineage: Eukaryota; Viridiplantae; Streptophyta; Magnoliopsida; Malpighiales; Euphorbiaceae.